CGUCCCGGAGCCGGCCGGCGGGCGGUGGGAGUGGAGUGUGAGUGGGGAAAUCCAGGAGAGGCGGCUUCCGCGUCACCCCACCCCGUGUCCUGGGACUGAGCUUUUGCAGGGGCGGGGGUGGGGUGGCGUCUCUACUGGUCUGAGAUGUCGGCCGUCCGAGAAAGCGGCGAGGUGAGCGAGUGUGCGUGGAGCCACCUGUGUGGUGACCGCGCUGGCGGCGUCUGCAGUCCUGGAGACCAUACCCACCAGGGUUCCAGUCAAGUGGCACUGAAGGAUAGCCAGUGGAGGAAGAGACCAUCUCUCAGGGGCACUGCCCUCUUGCUGCACCAUUGCCCUCAGCCCCUCCUCACCACCUCUGUUCAAAAAUAACGCUGCCCAGGCCAGCUGAAGGCUCUGAUCACACAAGUGCAGACUCUCUGCACUGGUGCAGGUUCUCCCUCCUCUGGAGGGGGAUGCAGGGACAGCGCCACCCCCUUCCUCCAUCGGAGAGCUUGACAGAGGUCCUGGGCACUGGCUCCUGCUUCCUCACCCGCAGAGGCAGCCGCUGGUGACCUGCUGAAGGCUGGGGUCAAGCCAGAGAGAGGUUGCCUGCAGAGCACUGUCACAGCGUUGGCCAGGAGGACGGACGUGAGCACUUGGUCAGAAGCCUGGUGGCAGUCUGGAUACCCUCCCUGGGUCUCUACACGCAAGACUCACCUCCAAAGGAGAGCCCUGUGCUUCCACCUCUGCCAGUGGUGGCCGACUGGAGCGUGGGGGCCUGGCCGGCCACCCCGAAGAUGCUGUGAUACGGGGAGAAAAGUCGGCAUGGGCAUCAUCCAGCACCAAGGAGGAACAACACGAUGCAGAGUUGGCAGGCUUCUUCUCUAAGAGGGAUGCCCGAGGACUUCUGGAGACCACCUAGGACGCUGACCCAGCCCUUGCCCUGGGGGCCCUCUCGGGGAAAGGUUAUGUCCAUUCUCAUGUUUUCUAGGACUCGGGUCUCCAUUAC
Non-coding RNA from Kogia breviceps (pygmy sperm whale), 988 nucleotides. Lineage: Eukaryota; Metazoa; Chordata; Mammalia; Artiodactyla; Physeteridae. The record is from RefSeq and is a predicted model, not a curated record.